This 253-nucleotide ribosomal RNA is filed under the name uncultured bacterium. RNAcentral describes it as "partial 16S ribosomal RNA". It matches the Rfam family "Bacterial small subunit ribosomal RNA", at positions 524 to 776 of the family's 1533-position model. The record is from RNAcentral.
UACGUAGGGUCCGAGCGUUGUCCGGAAUUAUUGGGCGUAAAGGGCUCGUAGGCGGUCCGUCACGUCGGGAGUGAAAACUCAGGGCUCAACCCUGAGCGUGCUUCCGAUACGGGCGGACUAGAGGUAUGCAGGGGAGAACGGAAUUCCUGGUGUAGCGGUGGAAUGCGCAGAUAUCAGGAGGAACACCGGUGGCGAAGGCGGUUCUCUGGGCAUUACCUGACGCUGAGGAGCGAAAGCAUGGGGAGCAAACGGG